GUAAUUUUCUUUUUGUCUUUUUUGGAGUUUGCCAAAUUGCGAAAAUAUGUUUCGAAGAAAAGGUGAAAAUUAUCACUGUUGCGCACUCUGGUGGAAGUUUUAAGAAGAAGAUAAGCGCAGAAAUGGAUACCUAAUACCAAAAAACCCAUCUUCAUGUCCUUUAAAA
Molecule: long non-coding RNA, 166 nt
Organism: Rhagoletis zephyria (snowberry fruit fly)
Lineage: Eukaryota; Metazoa; Arthropoda; Insecta; Diptera; Tephritidae
Source: RefSeq, a predicted model, not a curated record